GAUGAACGCUGGCGGCGUGCCUAAUACAUGCAAGUCGAGCGAACGGACGAGAAGCUUGCUUCUCUGAUGUUAGCGGCGGACGGGUGAGUAACACGUGGAUAACCUACCUAUAAGACUGGGAUAACUUCGGGAAACCGGAGCUAAUACCGGAUAAUAUUUUGAACCGCAUGGUUCAAAAGUGAAAGACGGUCCUGCUGUCACUUAUAGAUGGAUCCGCGCUGCAUUAGCUAGUUGGUAAGGUAACGGCUUACCAAGGCAACGAUGCAUAGCCGACCUGAGAGGGUGAUCGGCCACACUGGAACUGAGACACGGUCCAGACUCCUACGGGAGGCAGCAGUAGGGAAUCUUCCGCAAUGUGCGAAAGCCUGACGGAGCAACGCCGCGUGAGUGAUGAAGGUCUUCGGAUCGUAAAACUCUGUUAUUAGGGAAGAACAUAUGUGUAAGUAACUGUGCACAUCUUGACGGUACCUAAUCAGAAAGCCACGGCUAACUACGU
RNAcentral lists this ribosomal RNA (496 nucleotides) under uncultured bacterium. RNAcentral's name for it is "partial 16S ribosomal RNA". It matches the Rfam family "Bacterial small subunit ribosomal RNA", at positions 28 to 506 of the family's 1533-position model. The record is from RNAcentral.